This 103-nucleotide small nuclear RNA is filed under the name Jaculus jaculus (lesser Egyptian jerboa). The record is from RNAcentral. Lineage: Eukaryota; Metazoa; Chordata; Mammalia; Rodentia; Dipodidae.
GUGCUUGCUUUGGCAGCACAUAUACUAAAAUUGAAAUAAUACAGAGAAGAUUAGCAUGGCCCCUACACAAGAUACACAAAUUUGUGAAACAUUUCAUAUUUAA